This 120-nucleotide small RNA is filed under the name uncultured Marinobacter sp. Its description in RNAcentral is "partial 16S ribosomal RNA". It matches the Rfam family "Bacterial small subunit ribosomal RNA", at positions 1413 to 1532 of the family's 1533-position model. Lineage: Bacteria; Pseudomonadati; Pseudomonadota; Gammaproteobacteria; Pseudomonadales; Marinobacteraceae. The record is from RNAcentral.
GGAUGCAAAAGAAGUAGUUAGUCUAACCUUCGGGAGGACGAUUACCACGGUGUGGUUCAUGACUGGGGUGAAGUCGUAACAAGGUAGCCGUAGGGGAACCUGCGGCUGGAUCACCUCCUU